GAGCUGCGCGGAGGGGGAGGGGAGCAGGGCGCGGGCAGCCAGCCUGAGCCCAGGAAAACGCGGGGCAGGAAACGUCCCAGCCCCCGCCCCAACUGUCAAACCCCGGCCUCGCCGCGGUCCUCCCGGGACACGUGUCUGCUGGGGCGCUCCCGGGCCGGCCCGGGGACUUCCUGAAACCCCCGCCUCCGGCUGCCGGAGACGCCGUAUCUAGCCCAAUUUCCAUCCCAUGGAAGUUACAGAGUACUACUUCCUGGGCAUGCCCAUGGAAAAUCAUGUCAUUUUUCCUGGUGAUGAGCUUUAUUCCAGGCCCUGGAAUUGUUGGCAUCUAGAACCAACACAGAGAAACAGGAGAGAGUUUUUGGAAGUCCCAUCGAAAGACAAAAAUUAAACAGGAAAAUUUCUGAAUGAAUACAAGAAUCAAGAAAUUAGAAAUGGAAAAGCCCUACUAGGUCAUCAAGUUCAUUCUUUGGUUCGUGGUUGAAGCAGUAUUGUUCCCACAGUCUUUUUCUCCAGAGGAAAACCAUUAUCUUACAUGGAUAAACUUGAAUAUCCAGAAGUUUUAUAUUUAAUCAUUUGCUUUUGGAAGAAUAAUUCCACCAUGGGACAAAACUUAAGGAAAAAUUAUUCCUCAUGUUCCUUGAUUUUCCUCCUUUUUCUUGACCUGGGAUUGAUUAUUCAUUGUACCCCUAUCUUCGAUUAGCAACAUAAAUAGCCUUAUUUCUUUCCUUAAUAAAGUUUGAUUUAACAAUUGA
Long non-coding RNA from Canis lupus familiaris (dog), 752 nucleotides. RefSeq lists it as uncharacterized. The record is from RefSeq and is a predicted model, not a curated record. Lineage: Eukaryota; Metazoa; Chordata; Mammalia; Carnivora; Canidae. The transcript is spliced from 3 exons.